RNAcentral lists this ribosomal RNA (1386 nucleotides) under Sphingobacterium sp. CHP-Y37. Its description in RNAcentral is "16S ribosomal RNA". It matches the Rfam family "Bacterial small subunit ribosomal RNA", at positions 60 to 1435 of the family's 1533-position model. Lineage: Bacteria; Pseudomonadati; Bacteroidota; Sphingobacteriia; Sphingobacteriales; Sphingobacteriaceae. The record is from RNAcentral.
AGUCGGACGGGAUCGAUCGGAGAGCUUGCUCGAAGAUGGUGAGAGUGGCGCACGGUGUGCGUAACGCGUGAGCAACGUACCUCUAUCAGGGGGAUAGCCUCUCGAAAGAGAGAUUAACACCGAAUAAUAUAUCUGAUUGAGCGAUCAGUUGGAUAUUAAAUAUUUAUAGGAGAGAGAUGGGCUCGCGUGACAUUAGCUAGUUGGUAGGGUAACGGUCUUACCAAGGCGACGAUGUCUAGGGGCUCUGAGAGGAGAAUCCCCCACACUGGUACUGAGACAGCGGACCAGACUCCUACGGGAGGCAACGGUAAGGAAUAUUGGUCAAUGGGCGGAAGCCUGAACCAACCAUGCCGCGUGCAGGAUGACUGCCCUGUGGGUUGAAAACUGCUUUUGUCCAGGAAUGAACCUAGAUACGAGUAUUUAGCUGAAUGUGCUGGAAGAAUAAUGAUCGGCUAACUCCGUGCCAGCAGCCGCGGUAAUACGGAGGAUCCGAGCGUUAUCCGGAUUUAUUGGGUUUAAAGGGUGCGUAGGCGGCCUAUUAAGUCAGGGGUGAAAUACGGUGGCUCAACCAUCGCAGUGCCUUUGAUACUGAUGGGCUUGAAUCCAUUUGAAGUGGCGGAAUAAGACAAGUAGCGGUGAAAUGCAUAGAUAUGUCUUAGAACUCCGAUUGCGAAGGCAGCUCACUAAGCUGGUAUUGACGCUGAUGCACUAAAGCGUGGGGAUCGAACAGGAUUAGAUACCCUGGUAGUCCACGCCCUAAACGAUGAUAACUCGAUGUUGGCGAUAGACAGCCAGCGUCUUAGCGAAAGCGUUAAGUUAUCCACCUGGGGAGUACGCCCGCAAGGGUGAAACUCAAAGGAAUUGACGGGGGCCCGCACAAGCGGAGGAGCAUGUGGUUUAAUUCGAUGAUACGCGAGGAACUUUACCCGUGCUUGAAAGUUAGUGAAGAAUGCAGAGACGCUUUCGUCCUUCGGGACACGAAACUAGGUGCUGCAUGGCUGUCGUCAGCUCGUGCCGUGAGGUGUUGGGUUAAGUCCCGCAACGAGCGCAACCCCUAUGUUUAGUUGCCAGCAUGUAAUGGUGGGGACUCUAAACAGACUGCCUGUGCAAACAGUGAGGAAGGUGGGGACGACGUCAAGUCAUCAUGGCCCUUACGUCCGGGGCUACACACGUGCUACAAUGGAUGGUACAGCGGGCAGCUACAUAGCAAUAUGAUGCUAAUCUCUAAAAGCCAUUCACAGUUCGGAUUGGGGUCUGCAACUCGACCCCAUGAAGUUGGAUUCGCUAGUAAUCGCGUAUCAGCAAUGACGCGGUGAAUACGUUCCCGGGCCUUGUACACACCGCCCGUCAAGCCAUGAAAGUUGGGGGUACGUAAAGCAUGUGACC